This 253-nucleotide ribosomal RNA is filed under the name uncultured bacterium. RNAcentral describes it as "partial 16S ribosomal RNA". It matches the Rfam family "Bacterial small subunit ribosomal RNA", at positions 524 to 776 of the family's 1533-position model. The record is from RNAcentral.
UACGAAGGGGGCUAGCGUUGUUCGGAAUCACUGGGCGUAAAGGGCGCGUAGGCGGCCGAUCAAGUCGGGGGUGAAAGCCUGUGGCUCAACCACAGAAUUGCCUUCGAUACUGUUUGGCUUGAGACCGGAAGAGGUUAGUGGAACUGCGAGUGUAGAGGUGAAAUUCGUAGAUAUUCGCAAGAACACCAGUGGCGAAGGCGGCUCACUGGCCCGGUACUGACGCUGAGGUGCGAAAGCGUGGGGAGCAAACAGG